Triticum dicoccoides is the source of this 331-nucleotide long non-coding RNA. RefSeq lists it as uncharacterized. The record is from RefSeq and is a predicted model, not a curated record. NCBI's taxonomy places the organism in Eukaryota, Viridiplantae, Streptophyta, Magnoliopsida, Poales, Poaceae. The transcript is spliced from 3 exons.
CCUGUAGACAUGCAAGAGUUUCAGUCCAUUACCAACAAUCAUUGCUACACCAGCCAGCCUGUUAGAGAGGUGUCAAUAUCGUCAUCACCAUCCUCUAGCAGGAUGAUUGGGAUCUCAAAAAUUCAGGUUAUUGUAUAUAUUGGCAACUUUAGCCCGUUCCCGAUGCAAUUUGAAGACAAUUCUUCAAUUGAGCACAUUGUGUGUGCAACUUUUCAAAAACAAAAUAUCAACAAAUUUGAUGCAAUCAUCCGAGUGAAUGGCCGCAAUGCUUAUCUUGAGGAUACAUUGUCUUAUUUGAACAUUAAUAAUGACAAAGAGUGUAGUCUCUAUA